Molecule: ribosomal RNA, 493 nt
Filed under: uncultured bacterium
Lineage: Bacteria
Description: bacterial SSU rRNA
Rfam family: Bacterial small subunit ribosomal RNA
Source: RNAcentral
AAAUGAAUAGACGGGGGCCCGCACAAGCGGCGGAGCAUGCGGAUUAAUUCGAUGCAACGCGAAGAACCUUACCAAGGCUUGACAUGGAUCCGAUUCUGGUAGAGAUAUCAGUUCCGUAAGGCGGGUUCACAGGUGGUGCAUGGUUGUCGUCAGCUCGUGUCGUGAGAUGUUGGGUUAAGUCCCGCAACGAGCGCAACCCUUGUCUCGUGUUGCCAGCGGGUUAUGCCGGGGACUCAUGAGAGACUGCCGGGGUCAACUCGGAGGAAGGUGGGGAUGACGUCAAAUCAUCAUGCCCCUUAUGUCUUGGGCUUCACGCAUGCUACAAUGGCCGGUACAGAGGGUUGCGAUCCUGUGAGGGUGAGCGAAUCCCAAAAAGCCGGUCUCAGUUCGGAUUGGGGUCUGCAACUCGACCCCAUGAAGUCGGAGUCGCUAGUAAUCGCAGAUCAGCAACGCUGCGGUGAAUACGUUCUCGGGCCUUGUACACACCGCCCGU